RNAcentral lists this ribosomal RNA (996 nucleotides) under Triticum aestivum (bread wheat). RNAcentral describes it as "partial small subunit ribosomal RNA". Lineage: Eukaryota; Viridiplantae; Streptophyta; Magnoliopsida; Poales; Poaceae. The record is from RNAcentral.
UCACUAUAUUGGUCCUAUGAUGCCUGCAAGAGAGGUUUCCUGAGGGGGUGCAGGCCAAUUCUAUUUGUUGAUGGCUGUCACCUAAAGAGCAAAUACAAGGGUGUGUUGCUUACAGCUGUUGGGAUUGAUCCCAAUGAUUGCAUAUUUCCAAUUGCAAUGGGGAUGGUGGAGGUGGAGUCAACUUACUCUUGGGAAUGGUUUCUCACCACUUUGAAGAAUGAUUUAAACAUCAUUAACACCUCCCCUUUCACUAUAAUGAGUGACAAGCAAAAGGGUUUGAUCAAUGCUGUUGAGAAGAUAUGGCCAGAUGCAGAACACAGAUUCUGUGUUAGACAUCUUUAUCAAAACUUCCACCAGAAGUUCAAAGGAGAAACACUGAAGAAUAUGUUGUGGGCCAUUGCUAGGUCAACUAAUGUGGACAAGUGGACCUUGAACAGAGAGAAGCUUAGGGCACAGAACUUGGAGGCAUAUAAUUGGUUGGAUGGCAAGCCCCCCAACCAGUGGGUGAAAGCAUACUUCAGAGAUUUCCCCAAGUGUGACAUUUUGCUGAACAACAUGUCAGAGGUGUACAACAGCUACAUCUUGGAUGCAAGAGAAUUGUGUGUUAUAUCAAUGCUAGAAUGCAUAACACAUAAAAUUACUGUGAGGCAUGACAAAAAGUACAAAGAAGCUUCAGAAAAGUGGACUGGACUUAUCUGCCCCAAGAUUAGGAAGAAACUGGACAAAAAUGCAGAGUACUCAGGUAACUGCUUUCCAUCACAUUCAGGACUUGGAAUUUAUGGUGUUGAAUCAGGCAACAACAAGUAUGUUGUGGAUAUUCCAGCAAGAACUUGUGAUUGCAAAAAAAUUCAAUUGGAUGGCAUCCCUUGCAAUCAUGUGAUUGCUUGUUGUAGAGCUGAUAGGAUUGACCCUGAAACAUUGGUUCACAAGUGCUAUAGCAUAGAAAAUUAUCUAAAGGCAUAUGGGCACAACAUCAUGCCUAUGAGGGACAGGAAA